This 406-nucleotide ribosomal RNA is filed under the name uncultured bacterium. RNAcentral's name for it is "partial 16S ribosomal RNA". It matches the Rfam family "Bacterial small subunit ribosomal RNA", at positions 30 to 526 of the family's 1533-position model. The record is from RNAcentral.
AUUGAACGCUGGCGGCAGGCCUAACACAUGCAAGUCGAACGAGUGGCGGACGUGUGCGUAAUGUCUGGGAAACUGCCUUAUGGAGGGGGAUAACUACUGGAAACGGUAGCUAAUACCGCAUACCAUCGGAUGUGCCCAGAUGGGAUUAGCUAGUAGGUGGGGUAAAGGCUCACCUAGGCGACGAUCCCUAGCUGGUCUGAGAGGAUGACCAGCAAAACUGGAACUUAGACACGGUCCAGAGUCCUACGGGAGGCAGCAGGGGGGAAUAUUGCACAAUGGGCGCAAGCCUGAUGCAGCCAUGCAGCGUGUAGGAAGAAGGCCUUCGGGUUGUAAAGUACUUUCAGCGGGGAGGCGUUACCCGCAGAAGAAGCACCGGCUAACUCCGUGCCAGAAGCCGCGGUAAUAC